RNAcentral lists this ribosomal RNA (440 nucleotides) under uncultured bacterium. RNAcentral describes it as "partial 16S ribosomal RNA". It matches the Rfam family "Bacterial small subunit ribosomal RNA", at positions 338 to 795 of the family's 1533-position model. The record is from RNAcentral.
CCUACGGGUGGCUGCAGUGAGGAAUAUUGGGCAAUGGGGGCAACCCUGACCCAGCCAUGCCGCGUGAGUGAAGACGGUCCUAGGGUUGUUAAGCUCUUUCGGACAUGAAGUAGAUUACGGUAGGGUCUCAUGAAGGAACGGCAAACUUCGUGCAAGCAGCCGCGGUAAUACGAAGGCUGCGAGCGUUGUUCGGAAUUACUGGGCGUAAAGGGAGUGUAGGCGGAUAGGUAAGAUAGCGGUGAAAUGCCGGGGCUCAACCCUGGAACUGCCAUUAUGACUAUGUAUCUAGAGUAAUGGAGAGGAUAGCGGAAUACGCGGUGUAGAGGUGAAAUUCGUAGAUAUCGGGUAGAACACCGGUUGCGAAGGCGGCUAUCUGGCCAUUUACUGACGCUGAGGCUCGAAAGCAUGGGGAUCAAACAGGAUUAGAUACCCCUGUAGUC